Molecule: unclassified non-coding RNA, 153 nt
Filed under: soil metagenome
Also listed under: 1 other name
Description: partial internal transcribed spacer 1
Source: RNAcentral
GUGAUUAAAUCGAGCGUGUCUUCAUUGACCGCUCACCUUUCUCACCAUCCACAUACACCUGUGCACUGUUUAGCCUGAGCCGGUUUUCCGGUCCAGGUUAUCAUUUCAUACAAACUCUAGUCUUAUGAAUGUAAACGUUUUAAUAACAUAAUA